UUGUUUUACAUUCCAAGAAGCUCAUGAUUCAUGUUUCAUUUCUGUCAGACUUUUAAUACAGUCGUUUUUGUCUUACAAAUGAAGUAGGUUGGGUGCCUUAAAGUUUCAUGACAAGUAAAACCCAAAAAUAUUUUUGUGUACUAAUGAAAAUACAUUGUAGACAUCAGUUGUAUUAGCAGUAAAAACGUACUCUGCAAAAGUAAUUCUGAAUAAAGUACGCCUAAAGUAUUUCUUCAUAUAUUUCGUUUUUUAUUUUCCAAAUCAACCAUUGGUUUCUUAAUCUCACCUCAUCAGAUUUGAUCAAACCUCUGUCCAAAGGACAUGUCGGGGUGGUGGCUGGGGAUUUUUCCCUGCACAAAAGAGAGCAUCGCAUUUCAAUAUGAUUGCUGACAUACGCUACCUACAGUAUCAACUAACAGCCCUUUAGCUCAAUGGGCUAAAAGAGUCAAUUCAGAAUUGUACAACUUGAUUAACUCACAAAGCCUCUUGAACAAUUCGAAUCGGAGCCCUUGGAUGCAGCGGUAGCAGAAGAUGUGUCCGCAGCCGGUUUGGUGUGGGUUGAGAACUACUCCUUUACAGGUGGGACAAACAUAGUGCUCUUCUAGGUUCUUCACAAACUUCAAACUGUGCUGCACCGCAGUCAAGUCCGAUUCCCAUUGUCCCCCCACUCCCGAAUUCUGCCUGGAGAUUCCUCCGGAUCCACUCGGGUCACUCUCCUUUGUUGCCAUGGCAACCUGUAGACUGACAGGUGUGUGGUAGAUGUUGGACAGUUUGCAGACCUGUGCAAAUGUACAUCUACAAAGAGUCUGUUAACAUUAAAAGGUCCUAUUCCAGGAGUCCUGCAAUUGACUGCAUACCUGCAUGACUUUGACAUUCAGAAAAACCCAUUCAAAGCACUCCAUAAUGAGAUAUAUGCCAAACAUUUGUACAUUAAAGUGUUUAGUAAAUAGGGGGAGGGGUUUAUAAGUAAAGUCCCCACAUUUUAAAACAAACCUAUCUUUUUAAGGAGUUUAUUCACAUGGACUUAUAACCAGGGCCGUAGCUACAUAUGAUAACACAGAGGUCAUUCUUUUGAAUACAAAUACAUUGUCACUGACUGGCAGUCACUAAAUUAGAACAUGACAGUUAAACAUAGAUUGGUAAAUUACGCAAAGCAUGUGCCCAGGGGUCCUGACCUCCAAGGGGCCCUCAUUAAUUCUGGUAGUCACUCUAACUCAUCAUAUAAGCAGGGCAUAAGUCAUGCCAAAAUGUGUAGACUUGCAGGAAAUUGGCUGUAAAACUGCAGCAAAUCUGUAAAGCAAACUUAUAUGUUGACCUUUUGUUAAUAAAAUAAUUUUUCUGCCAACAGA
Molecule: long non-coding RNA, 1349 nt
Organism: Salmo salar (Atlantic salmon)
Lineage: Eukaryota; Metazoa; Chordata; Actinopteri; Salmoniformes; Salmonidae
Source: RefSeq, a predicted model, not a curated record